GAUCCAGAAUGACUUGAUCCAUGCCUGGGGCCUGGAUUUCCAGCUUGGUUAUUGUGCACAGGGUGAUCGAACAAAAAAUGUUGGCGUAGUUGAUUCUGAGUACAUUGUUCAUCUGGGUCUUUUAACUCUUGGUGUCUUCAAUGGAACUGAGUCUAAUUCUCAUUCUGGUUCGCAAGUUCAUCUUUCUCAAGAAAAGCAUUUUGCUGAGCCAUCGGAGUCCUAUGUAGUUGAUAACAGAGUAGAGGUACGCUCGGUUGAUUAUUUUCUAUGCUCGCAAGCCAUGUUCUUUUUUUCAUUACGCAUUGCACAAACUGCAAAAUUAUGUUCUUUUUGUUGUUUUUCCCUGCUUAUUUAUACUCUCAACAAUAUGCUUAUUUUUCCUCAAAUGAAUUGACAUGGAUCCAUUGGUUUAAGAACUAGUUAUGGAGUAAUGAUAUUUAUACAGGUAAGAAGACAGUCCUACUUUGAAAUGCAGAUCUUCCGGGAUAGAUGGAAAAACGCUGUAAAGGACGACAAAUGCUGGGUAGAUCCAUUUCAAUACUUAGCAAACCAAACUAAUAAUUAAACUUUAUUCCCUCAUAUGAAGAUUGGUGGCUACAUUCAUACAUGACAGCAAUAGCUUCUUGUACAAACCAUCCAUAUGAAUUUUUUGUUCGAAAAAAUCUCAAAACAGCAGAGGUAAAGUGUGUAAAUUCUUCAAGGAGAUUGAGAUUGUGAAUUUGUGAUUUCUUGGCUGCUGCUGCAUAGCCAGUGGUGUUCAUAUAUGGAUGAUCUCAGAGAGAUGUGGAACAGCCAAUGCAUAUUUCUGUAAUUUUAUGCUUCAUUUGAUCUUCUCAUUCAAAUGAGAAGUGGCAGAUAUGCCUGAUGUGUGAUUUCCUACUUCCCACUUUCAAAUUAUUGAUAAUUUUUUUGAAUUCUGUAAAUACAAUUUAAUUUUGAG
Molecule: unclassified non-coding RNA, 940 nt
Filed under: Hevea brasiliensis (rubber tree)
Lineage: Eukaryota; Viridiplantae; Streptophyta; Magnoliopsida; Malpighiales; Euphorbiaceae
Source: RNAcentral